UUAGAGUUUGAUCCUGGCUCAGAUUGAACGCUAGCGGGAUGCCUUACACAUGCAAGUCGAACGGCAGCACGGACUUCGGUCUGGUGGCGAGUGGCGAACGGGUGAGUAAUGUAUCGGAACGUGCCCAGUAGCGGGGGAUAACUACGCGAAAGCGUAGCUAAUACCGCAUACGCCCUACGGGGGAAAGCAGGGGAUCGUAAGACCUUGCACUAUUGGAGCGGCCGAUAUCGGAUUAGCUAGUUGGUGGGGUAACGGCUCACCAAGGCGACGAUCCGUAGCUGGUUUGAGAGGACGACCAGCCACACUGGGACUGAGACACGGCCCAGACUCCUACGGGAGGCAGCAGUGGGGAAUUUUGGACAAUGGGGGAAACCCUGAUCCAGCCAUCCCGCGUGUGCGAUGAAGGCCUUCGGGUUGUAAAGCACUUUUGGCAGGAAAGAAACGUCAUGGGUUAAUACCCCGUGAAACUGACGGUACCUGCAGAAUAAGCACCGGCUAACUACGUGCCAGCAGCCGCGGUAAUACGUAGGUGCAAGCGUUAAUCGGAAUUACUGGGCGUAAAGCGUGCGCAGGCGGUUCGGAAAGAAAGAUGUGAAAUCCCAGAGCUUAACUUUGGAACUGCAUUUUUAACUACCGGGCUAGAGUGUGUCAGAGGGAGGUGAAUUUCCCGUGUACAGUGAAAUGCGUAAUAUGCGGAGGACACGAUGCGAAGCAGCCCCUGGGAUACACUGACCUCAUGCCAAAGCUGGGGAGAAACGGAUUAAACCCUGGUGUCCCGCCUUAACAUGUCAAUACUGUGGGGCCUCGGCCUG
This 812-nucleotide ribosomal RNA is filed under the name uncultured bacterium. RNAcentral's name for it is "bacterial SSU rRNA". It matches the Rfam family "Bacterial small subunit ribosomal RNA", at positions 1 to 833 of the family's 1533-position model. The record is from RNAcentral.